This 519-nucleotide ribosomal RNA is filed under the name uncultured bacterium. RNAcentral's name for it is "bacterial SSU rRNA". It matches the Rfam family "Bacterial small subunit ribosomal RNA", at positions 9 to 518 of the family's 1533-position model. The record is from RNAcentral.
GAGUUUGAUCCUGGCUCAGGAUGAACGCUAGCUACAGGCUUAACACAUGCAAGUCGAGGGGCAUCAGUGUCGGUGCUUGCAACUGAUGAUGGCGACCGGCGCACGGGUGAGUAACGCGUAUCCAACUUCCCCUUAGUAGGGCAUAGCCCGUAGAAAUGCGGAUUAACACCCUAUGUUCUUCAUGGAUGGCAUCUGACGUGAAGCAAAGUUUACGCUAAGGGAUGGGGAUGCGUCUGAUUAGGUUGCAGGCGGGGUAACGGCCCACCUGGCCGACGAUCAGUAGGGGUUCUGAGAGGAAGGUCCCCCACACUUGGAACUGAGACACGGUCCAAACUCCUACGGGAGGCAGCAGUGAGGAAUAUUGGUCAAUGGGCGCGAGCCUGAACCAGCCAAGUAGCCGUGCAGGAUGACGGCCCUAUGGGUUGUAAACUGCUUUUAUCAGGGGAUAAAGUCGGCUACGCGUAGCCGUUUGUAGGUACCUGAUGAAUAAGGACCGGCUAAUUCCGUGCCAGCCGCCGC